RNAcentral lists this ribosomal RNA (437 nucleotides) under uncultured bacterium. Its description in RNAcentral is "bacterial SSU rRNA". It matches the Rfam family "Bacterial small subunit ribosomal RNA", at positions 28 to 478 of the family's 1533-position model. The record is from RNAcentral.
GACGAACGCUGGCGGCGCGCCUAACACAUGCAAGUCGAACGGAGCUUAGAGAGCUUGCUUUUUAAGCUUAGUGGCGAACGGGUGAAUAACGCGUGAGUAACCUGCCCUAGAGUGGGGGACAACAGUUGGAAACGACUGCUAAUACCGCAUAAGCCCACGGUACCGCAUGGCACUGAGGGAAAAGGAUUUAUUCGCUUUAGGAUGGACUCGCGUCCAAUUAGCUAGUUGGUGAGGUAACGGCCCACCAAGGCGACGAUUGGUAGCCGGACUGAGAGGUUGAACGGCCACAUUGGGACUGAGACACGGCCCAGACUCCUACGGGAGGCAGCAGUGGGGGAUAUUGCACAAUGGGGGAAACCCUGAUGCAGCGACGCCGCGUGGAGGAAGAAGGUUUUCGGAUUGUAAACUCCUGUCGUUAGGGACGAUAAUGACGGUAC